GAUGAACGCUGGCGGCGUGCCUAAUACAUGCAAGUCGAGCGAUCAGACGAGGACUUUGCUCCUCUGACGUUUUCCGCGGACGGGUGAGUAACAUGUGUAUCACCUACCUAUAAGACUGGGAUAACUUCGGGACACCGGAUCUAAUACCGGAUAAUAUAUUGAACCGCAUGGUUCAAUUGUGAAAGACGGUUUUGCUGUUACUUAUUGAUGGUUCCUCGCCGUAUUAGCUAGUUGGUAAGGUAACGGCCUACCAAGGCAACGAUUCGUAGCCGACCUGAGAGGGUGAUGGGCAAAACGGGAACGGAGAAACGGUCCAGACUCCUAAGGGAGGCAGAAGUAGGGAAUCUUCGGCAAUGGGCGAAAGCAUGACGGAGAAACGCCGCGUGAGUGAUGAAGGUCUUCGGAUCGUAAAACUCUGUUAUUAGGGAAGAACAAAUGUGUAAGUAACUAUGCACGUCGUGACGGUACCUAAUCAGAAAGCCACGGCUAACUACGUG
RNAcentral lists this ribosomal RNA (497 nucleotides) under uncultured bacterium. RNAcentral's name for it is "partial 16S ribosomal RNA". It matches the Rfam family "Bacterial small subunit ribosomal RNA", at positions 28 to 507 of the family's 1533-position model. The record is from RNAcentral.